Molecule: long non-coding RNA, 3440 nt
Filed under: Gallus gallus (chicken)
Lineage: Eukaryota; Metazoa; Chordata; Aves; Galliformes; Phasianidae
Description: long non-coding RNA NONGGAT004915
Source: RNAcentral
CCUGCCCUACAGCCAUUCAAAACAAGAAUUUCCACUUUAGCUGUUCUACAAAUUAGUGCUUGCACUACACUGAAAGCUGCAGGAGUUUUUUACGUGAAAAACAAACAAACAAAAAAAACCCCAUAACCACAACAAAAACACAGAAGAGGUUUUGAUUUUACUUUAACUGGUAAGAUUAGCAUGAGAAUUCCAAGUGCCUAGAUGCCAGGCUGGAGGUUAAAGGAAGCAGCUGGAAAAACUGCACAAUGAUAAUAUCACAAUAAAUCCCUCAAAAAAAAAAAAAAACAAACCCAACCCCCCAAAAACCCCAACAUGCUGUGUUCAGUGAGCAAUGAUCAAAAUGCCUGCUUUCUGUUCAUUAAGGAUGUUGGUAAUUUUCAUCCUUUCUGCUGAAAAUGGUGGGAAGGUGAGCAAAGUGUCUGAGGCUUCAGAGCUUGAUCAGCAUUAUCAGAUGGAAUUUUCUGGCUCCCACCCCAACGAGCUAUUCAAAGCUGAACUCUUACACGCUGUGUUUAGCAAUACCAUUGUUCUUGUACUCUGCAAAAAGUCCAAAUCCCUUUGGUUACACAUGAUUUGAAUCAUCACAAGUAUUUAUGCCUCAGGACAAUGUCCAAAUUUUAGUUUUCUGCAGCCAGACCACAGUAUGACCAGCAAACUAUGGCUCCCAGGACAUACCUUAUUUCUGUAGGUUCUAAUUAAAAAAAACAACAACAACAACAAAAAAAUGCAACCCACAACUGCUUGCAUUUCCCUGACACUUGAGGCAGAGCUAUAGUCUUAUUUUUUGCGUUUUGAACUAAGCCCAUCUCCACAAGGUAGUGCUUUCUUGCCCCUUGAUGUGCUCCUCAGGGAGUGCAAAGUCUGCACUUGCUGUAGACGCUUGGAGAGCUCCUGAUCGCAAGCCUGUUGUACAGCUUUGGCUUUUUGCUUGUCCCAGCUUAAAGCUGCAGCCAGGGCUUGUGUGUCUUCUUUCACCACCAGCUGUAAGAGACAGACUUGUAAUGGUGCUGCCCACUGAUGCUGUAACACCACAACCCCCUGCCCACACACACUAAGAACAGGAGUAACGAGACACCUGUUUAAUGCCAAUUUGCUGUUGAAGAUGUUUCCAGCUUACAUCUUGUAGCUCUUAGGCUAAUGUAUUUUGCUUUAAUAUCCUACCAGUACUUGGAGCUUGAAGCUCUACACUCAAACUAGCAGAAAACAUUUCCUUAGUUUCUGCAGCACAGAAAAGUGAGAUUAACAAUUUAAUAUCACCAGAACACUUCCUCAUGGUUAGUUUACCCCGACUCUCCUUUUCAUGCCCCAGAGGCUUCCCCUCUCAACCCCUUCUCCAGAUAGGUGAGAUUUGCCAGAACAUGGUUGUAUGAUCCUCACCCACCUCUAGAGUUUGACUGUCCAAGCAGAGCUCUGGGGCAGGUUUCUCUUUCAAAACAGCAAAGAUGUGAUCACUGAGGGCUGUUCUGGCUGAAGCACCUGCACUGCUGGUACCCGUGUCAACCACAUCCAUCUCCUUUCUUGGUACACUCUCAGACUCUGAAAAGCAGAAGAAUCAUCACAGCCACAUGCACAGGACAGGAAGUGUAGCCCAGACUGCACUGUUGUUUUUGAGAUAAGAUAUGCAGCCUCUAGCUUAGGAAUUCCAUCAUAUUAAGGAUGACUACACGAUGUAAGCUUUUCCCCCAUAUUCUACUUUCAUCGUAAGCAAUGUGACAGCAGUGAAAGGACUCCUGGUCUCUCCCAUUCAGAGAACUCUUCCACUACCCGAGCUAUUCAAUCAAUCAUGUUAAUAGCAAGUGACUCGCUUCACUCCUUCCCCCACUUAUUUGUCCCACUCAACUCUUUCAGGCUUCUCUGAGAAGCUCCUUUUUCAGCAUCCUAACGUUCCCUACCUGCUACUUUGCUUAAGAUACUGUCUUCAUUUUUCAAGGCCUCUAAGUAGAGUUCCAGAAGCUGCUUUGACUGACGUUCCUCUUCUCGUCUGUCCAGCACCUGCUGCAGGGUGUCCUGCAAUACCUGGGUUUUGGUUUGAUUCUGGGCAAGUUCCUCUGCCAGAUCCGAACGUGGUACAUCAAUAAGCACCUUAAAACAACAGGAGUGCUCCUGUUAUAUGGACUGAGUGAUUGAGCAAUUCCAUCACACUGAUUACAGCACAAACUACAAGCCUGAAUGACAAAGCCUCCACCUUUGUGAAACCUUCUAUAUGUCACAAGGUUUUCACAGUAGUCAGCCUGGUUAUGAAAAGCUGCAGUGGCAUUCCAGUGAGCCCAGAGAUAUUCAGGAAGGUGUAGAAUUGGGCAUUUUUAACACGAUUUUUUGCCUGCUAACUCCAAGCAAUCAAAGUACCAAUUCUUAAGUGAGUGUGGGAGCACACAAAAGAAAGCCAGCAGGCUGGCACUUGGGAAUCUGCAUGCUGCAGGAAGGCAAGAAGGGGCAGAAUCACAAAGACAUGCUGUGAGGGAUAAUCAGCGAUCUAGAGCAUCCUCCUCAAACACUUGUGCUGUCAGUGGAACAAGGAUUCCCCCGCAAGGAGAAAUUUCACUUUAGCACCACAGCCAAAGAAACAACAGCUGAAUGAAGCUCUGGGAUCCGACUUGCUUAUUCUAUUUUGUGCCAUCCAAUGUACAGACGAGCCUGGUCCCCCCCUUGGCCUUCCCCUCUGUACCUGCAGGUCUUCUUCAGACAUGAGGAUGAUGUUGGACAGGUCAGCCCUCAGCUGCCGCGCCAGCUGCCUCCACCUCUCUGCACCGCUGUCCACUUCAUCCGCAGGCUCUGAGAGCCAGGCCGAUCUGCUGUCUGCCAUCGACAUCACCAGCCAAAAGACGAAAACACAAAGCUAUCGCGAUCAGAACGAGAGCCAUUACUUCCCCUUUAAAGCUAUUUAACCCUGCUUUUUUUAUGCAGUGUCAAAACCGGACAGCCUACAUCUUUUACAAAGCAGCUACUGGCUGACAUGAGGCUCUUCGGCUUGGCCUCCCUGCUUAGCUGAUCGGGGGCGUAAAAUCUGGGGUAGUUUGGCUCCUUUCUGGGGCCCUGAGCUCCUCUCGCUCUCGCAGCCCCGCUCGUACCCGCGCAGUUCCGCUCGCCGCGCCGCGCCGCCGGGAAGAGCCGCGCUGGGGCCGCCCCGCGCCGCCGCUACCUGCGCUCCUCCCGGACCACCUCUCGCCCUCGGCCAGCGCCACGAACUUGGUGUUGGAGGGCAGGCACAGGAAGUAGUCCUCGUCGUCCACGAUGGUGCCAUCCUCCGCCAGCACCAAGGUGAUGGGCCGCCCGUCCUCGCCGAUAGCCAGAGCGCUGCCAGCUGCGCGCAGAGAAACGUUUAGUGCCGUCAGCGCCGGCCCCGGGCUCUUUCAGCGGGCCGUGCCCGCGAAGCGCCGCCGCUCACCCUUAUCGCGCAGCUCCCGCAGGGAGGAGGCGGCCAGCCCGUGCUGCUCGCGCCC